GUGGUACACUCAGUAAUGCCUGACACCAGGUCACCUCUGAUCACUUUAAGGACAUCAGCAUUGUCUUCCUCAACAUAUCUCCCAAAGCCUUGAUGAAAAGAAUCUCUCCUGGACAUUUCCAGAGUAGAUGGUGGUUCUUCCCCCAAAUUACAAGGAAUGGAGGCUGGGAAACUACAUUUCUGAGACUCCUUCAUCAUCAGGAUGCCAGAUAAUAUUUUAAAAGCUGACUCCACCAGAGACCCGAUUCUUGAACUUUUAAUGCACAUUUGGAAAUCCCGUGUUUAGUUGGCUUAGAUUAUAAACUGCAGGAGAACAAGAAGUGUAUCAAUUAUGUUCCAGUUUCUAGGAUGUACUCUUCUAGUGGAUCCACAAGCAAAAGGGAAGAGAGGCUAUUCCGUAUACUUACUAGAAUAUAUGAGUUUUACAAAUUGGAAUGAUAGGCAUUGAUAUUGACACAUCUGGAGAAGGAGUGAUCAAAGAGAAGUGGCCCUGGAGCUCUCCCCAUGAAAAGAUUAAAUUUUUAAGAAGAUGCUGCUCACCUAAAACUUAUCAAUAAAGUCAACUAUAGUUUCCAAUUGGUAAAUCAUUGUAUGAAAAAACAAUAAAACUAUGAAAUAAAAGUAAUAAGUAUUCUAAUGCCUUUCAGCUUGAAUAAAAUUGCAGUCAAUAAUUUGGUGCCAGAAAUGAUGUCAUCAUUGUAAAAAAACACUUGUGGAGAAGAAUACUGUAACAAGACACAUUUUCAUUCAACUCC
Molecule: long non-coding RNA, 754 nt
Filed under: Homo sapiens (human)
Lineage: Eukaryota; Metazoa; Chordata; Mammalia; Primates; Hominidae
Description: HSALNT0395035
Source: RNAcentral